AUUGAACGCUGGCGGCAUGCCUUACACAUGCAAGUCGAACGGCAGCAUGAUCUAGCUUGCUAGAUUGAUGGCGAGUGGCGAACGGGUGAGUAAUACAUCGGAACGUGCCCUGUAGUGGGGGAUAACUAGUCGAAAGAUUAGCUAAUACCGCAUACGACCUGAGGGUGAAAGUGGGGGACCGCAAGGCCUCAUGCUAUAGGAGCGGCCGAUGUCUGAUUAGCUAGUUGGUGAGGUAAAGGCUCACCAAGGCGACGAUCAGUAGCUGGUCUGAGAGGACGAUCAGCCAAACGGGGAAUGAGACACGGCCCAGAACCCUAGGGGGGGCAGAGGGGGGGAAUUUUGGAAAAUGGGGAAAAGCCUGAUCCAGAAAUGCCGGGUGUGUGAAGAAGGCCUGCGGGUUGUAAAGCACUUUUGGCCGGAAAGAAAGGGCUCUGGUUAAUACCUGGGGUCGGUGACGGUACCGGAAGAAUAAGGACCGGCUAACUACGU
RNAcentral lists this ribosomal RNA (489 nucleotides) under uncultured bacterium. RNAcentral describes it as "partial 16S ribosomal RNA". It matches the Rfam family "Bacterial small subunit ribosomal RNA", at positions 29 to 506 of the family's 1533-position model. The record is from RNAcentral.